This 806-nucleotide long non-coding RNA is filed under the name Calidris pugnax (ruff). RNAcentral describes it as "lncRNA (ENSCPUG00000008936.1)". The record is from RNAcentral. Lineage: Eukaryota; Metazoa; Chordata; Aves; Charadriiformes; Scolopacidae.
UGUUUGUUGUACCUAAUCUCACACUGGCAAAAGCUGUUAUGACAGAAAGACAGAUUGAACCUGCUAUUAAUAAUGCAAAGAUGUCAUUGCUUCCCAAAAGAGAUUCUUAGCACAGCUUGUGGGAGAGAUUAGGUCUGCUUCUAAUAACGUGAAUAAUAUUAAAGAGGGACAUUGUCUACUGUAUGAGUAGAAAGGGUUUGGUUUUUUUCCUGAAGAGCCUUUGAAAGGGCAAAAAAAGGACCCAGACUAGAGAAGUUAUACCAUCCCAUGCUUUCUCAUAAUUUUCCAUUAGAAAAAUUAAAAUUUGGGCUUCCAUUUAUACAUUUAAUUCUUGUUGUGGAUACACUCUUGGCCUUGAAGAGCGUGUUGGAGAAGAAGGCAGGACUGUUCAAAAGGAAGAAAAUUGGAGACCUGUGCCGUCUGAUAUAAGACUCAAGAACCAAAAAAACCCCACCACCCUACCAAAACCGGACCAGUAGUGACCCGUGUCAGUGGGAAAUGGAACAAAACAAUAGGAAUAUGCAUCAGGAUGUGGAUGAAAAGAGAAACUGUGGUCCGGCUUCUGCCCUGGGAACUAAAGCAGGCGUGCUUGAAGGUGUAGGACAUAAUUUUCUUGUAGAAGGAAUGAAAGCACCUGGGACCAUGAAGAUUUUACAAAAAUGGCUCGGUUUCACACUUCCUGAAGUAUGCACUACUGUCUGAAGCAGCACCCACCUGAGGAAAACUUCAACAUCCAGCUUCAGCAGAGGAAAAGCACAUGAAGCCCAGACGUGUGAAACUGGAAUCACCACUGAGAGGGACCUAUG